This 408-nucleotide ribosomal RNA is filed under the name Palisada parvipapillata. Its description in RNAcentral is "bacterial LSU rRNA". It matches the Rfam family "Bacterial large subunit ribosomal RNA", at positions 2079 to 2485 of the family's 2925-position model. The record is from RNAcentral. Lineage: Eukaryota; Rhodophyta; Florideophyceae; Ceramiales; Rhodomelaceae.
GACAGAAAGACCCUAUGAAGCUUUACUGUAGUUUGGAAUUGACUUCGGGUUUAUUUUGCGCAGCAUAGGUGGGAGGCUAAGAACUUACAUUUGUGGAUGUAAAGGAGCCAACAGUGAGAUACCACUCUGAUUAAACUAGAAUUCUAAUCCUGAUGCCGUUAUCCGGCCAAGAGACAUUUUCAGAUGGGCAGUUUGACUGGGGCGGUCGCCUCCUAAAAAGUAACGGAGGCGUGCAAAGGUUUUCUCAGACUGGUCGGAAAUCAGUCGUAGAGUGUAAAGGCAUAAGAAAGCUUGACUGUGAGACUUACAAGUCAAACAGAGACGAAAGUCGGCCUUAGUGAUCCGACAGUUCUGAGUGGAAAGGCUGUCGCUCAACGGAUAAAAGUUACUCUAGGGAUAACAGGCUGA